RNAcentral lists this ribosomal RNA (112 nucleotides) under Bacillus cereus. The record is from RNAcentral. Lineage: Bacteria; Bacillati; Bacillota; Bacilli; Caryophanales; Bacillaceae.
GAAUAUNAUGAUGGCAGAGAGGUCACACCCGUUCCCAUACCGAACACGGAAGUUAAGCUCUCUAGCGCCGAUGGUAGUUGGGACCUUGUCCCUGUGAGAGUAGGACGUCGCC